Molecule: long non-coding RNA, 915 nt
Organism: Hydra vulgaris (swiftwater hydra)
Lineage: Eukaryota; Metazoa; Cnidaria; Hydrozoa; Anthoathecata; Hydridae
Source: RefSeq, a predicted model, not a curated record
UAACAACUCUGACUCUGUGCUAAAAAUGUCACAACUUUAACUCCAACUCCACAGCCCUGCAAUAAAUGCUUAACUAUUCACAAAUAAUGUAAUGGAGAAAGUUCUAUCAAACUUUUUGUCAGAUAAUGUGCUAUUAAUAUGUGUUAAUGUAGUCAUUUUUGAAGUUGAAAAUGUGGUUAUUUGAAUAUUCUAAUCUUGUUUAAAUUUAGAUACCAUAAAAAUCUUUUCCAAAUAAAGUCGCCUUGAAAACAGAUAUAUAAAAACAAUAACAGAUGAGGAAGAUCUUGCUAAAAAUGGUUUUUAAAAAAAAACAAUCAAAAUGAUAGUCCCAAUAUUGGUUUUUUCUAAUUAUAUCUUUUGGAAUGGUUUAUACUUUUACUCUGUUUUUAUAUAUUACAGUUUACUUUUUAUUUUGAAUAAAAGAAUGUUAUUGUUUAGUUGAGGGGUUGAAGCAACUCUUAGAAGACUUCAAAACACAAGGAUAUUACUGGAAGACUUCAAAACAUAAGGAUAUUACUUAGUAUUGCGUGGCUUCUAUCUUCUCAAUUGAUACAUAAAUGAUUUUUUAAAAACAGUUCUGCUUUAUAUGUGUUAUUGUUAUUUAAUACAUGCCAAUAAUCCAAAAAUUAUUUUGCAAAAUGGUUUAUGGAUUGUUGACAUGUUAAUGUGAAAGUUUCAAUCUUCAAUUUUGGAGAAAGAUUCGUCUUAAAUCAAAAGGUUAUAAUAUGAUUGGCUAUUUAGUUCAACAGUUUUCAAUGCUGAUGAUUGAGUUGUAAAAAACUUAUUUAUAUUUAACAAAAUUGUUCGCUCUUGUUAAGAAAUAUGUUAUAAAUUAUUUUUUUGAUGAACUAACUAAAGUAGUUUUACAUAUGCAUUUGUAUUACUUAGCUUAAAUAUUUAAUUAUUUUUAUUACA